AUGAACCUCAGGAGAAGAGCAAAUUUGUUUCUUUAAAGUCUAGAUCAGAAAAAAGAAACCCAGAAAGGAACAAAGCCUUUCAAGCUGAGGAGGAAGAAGUCGAUGACUCUGAGAAUGAAGAUUCUAAUGAUGAAUAAGAAUUAUCUCUUCUUUCCAGAAGAAUCAAACAACUCUGAAUAAAAAUACAAAGCAACUUCAGAAGGCCCAGACAGAAGGGAGAUCGUUC
Molecule: long non-coding RNA, 226 nt
Filed under: Lathyrus oleraceus (garden pea)
Lineage: Eukaryota; Viridiplantae; Streptophyta; Magnoliopsida; Fabales; Fabaceae
Description: Pisum sativum (pea) long non-coding RNA (PSAT_LNC030090)
Source: RNAcentral